Mus musculus (house mouse) is the source of this 2235-nucleotide long non-coding RNA. RefSeq annotates it as predicted gene, 30908. The record is from RefSeq and is a predicted model, not a curated record. The transcript is spliced from 2 exons. NCBI's taxonomy places the organism in Eukaryota, Metazoa, Chordata, Mammalia, Rodentia, Muridae.
CUGGCCCUGCUUAACUAAUCUGGAGGCUUUUGUGUGUUGUUUUUGCCUGAUUCUACCAAGCAAGCUUUAGUGCUAAAAUCCCACCCUUGGAGCCAGUGACUCAGCCUCUCUGGUCAGUGCUCCCUAGUCUGGGGGGAGCUGGCUGUGUAGCAGUCUGCUUAGUGAUUGGCAACAUUGUGUGCGAGGGUAGGUUUGACAGGCGACAGGCACAACAGGGCUGAAAUGAACUGUUAGGUCAGCUGCAGCCUGUGUUGUGACUCUGGUCAUGUCUUGGCCAAUCAGUUGUCAGCACAGCAUCUAUGAACAUUGUCUCAGGACAUGAGAUCACUCAGCAGAUGCUGGGUGAGAAAAGUUGGAGGAGCAGAGAACUUGGUGACUGCUUAGUCCAGAAGCCGAGGCACCUGCAGGCCCGUUGGAGAGUCCGUGGUGUAAGUCUGUGUUCAAGGGAGAAGGAGGAGGGGGAGGAGGAGCGGGAGGAGGAGGGGGAGGAAGAGGAGGAGGAAGGGGAGGAGGAGGAGGAGGGGGAGGAGGAGGAGGGGGAGGAGGAGGAGGGGGAGGAGGAGGAGGGGGAGGAGGGGGAGGAGGAGGGGGAGGGGGAAGAGGAAGAAGAAGAGAGAAAGAGGAAGGAGAAGAGGAAGAGAAGGAGGAACAAAAGGAAGAGGAGGAGGACAAGAGGAAGAAGGAGAGGGGAAGGAAGAGGAGGAGGAGAAGGAGAGGGAGAAGGAGCCGGUGACAAAUGACACAGGAGUCUGAUGUCCCCAGGCAGUGAGAGCAGAGAUCUGCACGGGCCAGAGUUGACUUUAUGCCUACUCCAUGUGACCUCAGAGCCUCCAAGACUUGGCUUCUUCAUCUGGAACAUGGUGGUGGUGACCACAAGGGUCUCUUAUGCCCAUCAAAGUCUCAUGAGACAUCCGAGGGAGAUCGAUUAAACACAGAGGAGCCCCAGUCAGAGCUUCGAUGAUACCACUUCAGUCAUUCCAGGGAGGAGACUCUGCUAACUCUUGGCAGAGAAGAAAACAGCAGGGCACACUAGUGCAGAAGGAACUAAGACAGGUCCAUGGGUAGACAGGGUCUGUCUCUCAACAGAGCCAGGAAUGUUACCCCUGCAGCCCUGGACCUUACAAAUGCCCUCUUCUCCCUCUCCUAUCACAGAUCACUCAGAGGCUGAGUCCCCAGGACACAUGCAGCCUACACACAGACUAACACUAGAAGAGUCAUUGUGCAUGAAGCAGAGUCUGUAGGAGAGACCUAACCACUCAGCAGGAAAAACACCAAAUUUAAAACAGGCAAAUAAAACAAUCUAGAUUUGAUAACAUGUCAGAUGGACACCCGAUUCCUGAGGUCUUAAAGCUAGUUUCUAAGGUGUAGCCACCUGAUAAAUGUUCCUUCCUUGUCUCUCUUGUAAGUGACUGUAGUUGUCCCAAGCCAUCUCCCAAUUCACAUUACACACAGGGCACAGGCAUACCCUGGAAGCCCCACAUGGUCCUCUGAUUAUUCCAGUGUCAUGAAUGAGCUGUGACAGAAACACAGAUGGGCAUACACCUUUCCAUGGUGUCCAAGUUAGAUUGAAUACCAGUAAAUUCAGAAGUUGUGUCAAUUUGUUGUCUGCAGUUCACCAAGCCUCCCAACUACACUUGCCAGACCUGGCCUUGCCAGCCUCAGUAACUAUACUAACUCUUAGCUCACCCACUGGCAUCUACAUGCGUUACCCAAUGGCUGCAAGGGGCUUAGCAAGGUCACAGAGUUCAGGACACUGCCCUGCAGACAGAGGCAGGGAGCUGAAACAGAACAAAAUGUCUUCAGGUAUCCCCUGUGAGGCCCUAGCAUGGGCUCAGUGCUCUCAGACUCAUAGUUGUCAACUGCAGACAUAGGCAAGCCAUCCCAAGUGUCAUUUUGAGGUAGGCUGCAUGUCACCAGCAUGAAAAACUAUACCUGGUCCAGAGCCUGGGGACAGGUGUGAGGUCCUCUCCUGAGACAAUUUUCCUGGACUAAGAGUAGCCAAAUGAUGGGUUGAUGUCCUACUAUGUCCCAGGAUUGGGGUGUUCCAAGUGUUGAGGGCUUAUUUACAUCUAAUGCGACCGAGCUCAGAGGCCUGGUGUUUCUGAUAUGGUUUCAGUAUGCCCAUGUGUUUGUGUAUUCCUGUUGACUUGGUAAGCUCACAGGUGGUAAAAAUUUAUCUAUGUAAAUAAAUCAUGUGUCAUUCGGUACUUCGUGGUUUGUACUGAACAGAUGGUA